UCGAGAAUUUUUCACAAUGGGCGCAAGCCUGAUGGAGCGACGCCGCGUGGGGGAUGAAGGGUUUCGAUCCGUAAACCCCUGUCAUUUGCGAACAAACCUUAUUCAAUAACACUGGAUGAGCUGAUUGUAGUGAAAGAGGAAGGGACGGCUAACUCUGUGCCAGCAGCCGCGGUAAUACAGAGGUCCCAAGCGUUGUUCGGAUUCACUGGGCGUAAAGGGUGCGUAGGUGGCCAGGUAAGUUCGGUGUGAAAGCUCGGAGCUCAACUCCGAAAAGUCAUUGAAUACUAUCUGGCUGGAGGGUCGGAGGGGAGACUGGAAUUCUCGGUGUAGCAGUGAAAUGCGUAGAUAUCGAGAGGAACACCAGUGGCGAAGGCGAGUCUCUGGACGACACCUGACACUGAGGCACGAAAGCCAGGGGAGCAAACAGGAUUAGAUACCCCCGUAGUCC
This 448-nucleotide ribosomal RNA is filed under the name uncultured bacterium. RNAcentral describes it as "bacterial SSU rRNA". It matches the Rfam family "Bacterial small subunit ribosomal RNA", at positions 355 to 796 of the family's 1533-position model. The record is from RNAcentral.